This 464-nucleotide ribosomal RNA is filed under the name uncultured bacterium. RNAcentral describes it as "partial 16S ribosomal RNA". It matches the Rfam family "Bacterial small subunit ribosomal RNA", at positions 29 to 507 of the family's 1533-position model. The record is from RNAcentral.
ACGAACGCUGGCGGCGUGCUUAACACAUGCAAGUCGAACGGAAAGGCCCUGCUUGCAGGGUACUCGAGUGGCGAACGGGUGAGUAACACGUGGGUGAUCUGCCCUGCACUUCGGGAUAAGCCUGGGAAACUGGGUCUAAUACCGGAUAGGAGCCAUUUUUAGUGUGGUGGUUGGAAAGUUUUUUCGGUGUAGGAUGAGCUCGCGGCCUAUCAGCUUGUUGGUGGGGUAAUGGCCUACCAAGGCGGCGACGGGUAGCCGGCCUGAGAGGGUGGACGGCCACAGUGGGACUGAGAUACGGCCCAGACUCCUACGGGAGGCAGCAGUGGGGAAGAUUGCACAAUGGGCGCAAGCCUGAUGCAGCGACGCCGCGUGGGGGAGGACGGCCUUCGGGUUGUAAACUCCUUUCGCUAGGGACGAAGCUUUUUGUGACGGUACCUAGAUAAGAAGCACCGGCUAACUACGUG